This 398-nucleotide long non-coding RNA is filed under the name Elaeis guineensis (African oil palm). RNAcentral's name for it is "long non-coding RNA (EGUI_LNC012003)". Lineage: Eukaryota; Viridiplantae; Streptophyta; Magnoliopsida; Arecales; Arecaceae. The record is from RNAcentral.
AUUCAGUUUUAUUAUAUAUUUUUAUUAAUAUUGAAAUAUUAUUUAUAUUCAAAUAUUAAUAAAAAUAUAAAAUAUCUAGUCGUAUCCAUAUUAUGAUUUUUUUUAAUUUUUGCCGGAUUGACAUACCCAUACCAUAAAGUAUCCAUACCGCACAUCGAUGUACCUAUACUUUCUAGGCAGGCAAGUUCACCAUCCGUCAAAGCUAUACAUUUUUCUCCUAUAAGGGAGUUAUUUCACGAUUUGGACUAAAGGCUUGGAAACUUCCCAUGCCAGAAAAGGUAAAAUUGUUUAACUGGAUAAGCUUCAAUAAUAGAGCUCUAACAGCUGAUAUCCUUGCAAAAAGAUGUUUUAGAGACCUUGAAUCAUGCCCACUAUGCUGUCAAGCUAGAAGAAGAAAC